This is a long non-coding RNA of Nicotiana attenuata, 294 nucleotides long. RefSeq lists it as uncharacterized. Lineage: Eukaryota; Viridiplantae; Streptophyta; Magnoliopsida; Solanales; Solanaceae. The transcript has 3 exons. The record is from RefSeq and is a predicted model, not a curated record.
GAAGUUGUCUGCUACAUUUUGGGGCGAGUUUGUUGAUGAAAUUGUACCUCAUCUGCUAAGUUCUAACAACCAGCCUAUUAUUGUUGUUAUGCAGCUCAUAAAAGCCCAUAAAUUUCAAGAUUCAUAUUCUGUGCGCAAUACUUGGAAUGCAUCAAAGCUGUGGAUUAAUCCAAAUUUUCCUCAAUCUGACGAAUUUAAAAUACGAUUACUUUCUGUUCGGGAUAAUAACUCCGAGAGGCUGACUAAAACCAUCUCUCAACAAAGUUACUCUGUCUCGGAUGAGUUGGAGAAGGG